Molecule: long non-coding RNA, 2828 nt
Organism: Papilio polytes (common Mormon)
Lineage: Eukaryota; Metazoa; Arthropoda; Insecta; Lepidoptera; Papilionidae
Exons: 3
Source: RefSeq, a predicted model, not a curated record
CUCGAGUACUGCUCGAUAUAAAAUUUGUGAUAUUUUCUAUUUGUUUGCUGAUGACUUUUUGUUACGGACGGCCUCGGUUGAGAGACUGGUGCUGUCUUUAUCCGUUUCACUUUAUAGUCGUUAGAAGACGGCAUAUUUCGAUAAUCGUCACAAUGUCUCAAAUCAGGGAUAAAACGGUUAAACCAAUGAGAAGAUUAAGGUCGCGUGCGAUGUUGCUUUGAAAAAGAGCGCUGAAACGUGUAAGUGGCGCCGCCAGCGCGCCAAGCGGACAGCACCGGACCGAGCGGUUCCCGCCGAAACAGGCGCGGUUAUGGCGCGAAGGCUCGUGAUUGGUCGACGGCGCGGCAGUGGCGGCGCGCAAGGCCGCCGGUUUUCCCGCGAACAAUGCCAAAUGGUGCAUUUGUCAAGGUGAGUUCGUUCACCGGCGUCGCGGGCGCCGCUCGCUCGCUCACGCCGGCCGAAGGUCGUCGGAAGGCAGCGCGCGUUUGGUGUGCUCGCCUCGCCUCGCCUGCGCCGCGCCGCCCGCGCAUCGAGACACCUAUUGCUAAAUACACAUCUGCAAUACAGGUGAAAUAAUUGCUUUAUUUUAUCCUUUUAAUAAAUGUAAAUAAUUAAAUGAAAAUAAAUAGUUUGAUCCCUAGUGAAAGUUUGCUUUCUGCGAUAUUGAUAUUUUAAUAUAACUUGUUUGCGUAAUGUUAACAUGGUGAGUAAAAUGUUUUAAUUUGGCGUACAUUUAUAAUUUACUGUAUUUAAUAUUAUCAUCGUGUAUUGGCUAUAAUUGCAAUUAUAAAACGUACAUCACAUGGAUAAAAAAUCAAGAGUCAAGACUAAACAGAAGAACAUGAACAAAGAAGAAAGAAAAAGUAUCAAGUGCUACGCCCGGACGAACUUCCCAGUUCGGCCGACAUUCACGGGUCGGUGGGAUCUUCGUCCGUUUGUAUCGCUUAUACGUUUUAUCAACGACAUGUCGAAACAUGAACGAGUCAGCCGAGGAAGAAAGAAAAAGGAAUGCUCUAUUCCACGAGAAGAACAUUUUGCUAUGAGUACCGCGAAAGAAUCAAUAAACUGGCAGAACACUUUAAAUACCUUUGCCCGCUAACAGGUAGAGAAGUGUUGCGAAUUUGUUGAGCGCGGGAAAAUAGUGGCGCGACGGGGGCGGAGGACGCUUGCAAACAUUAGCACAGACCACGUUGCUCAUCACGUUUUCCUUCUAACUUUUUUGUUUUUGUUGUAAUGAAACAAACCGACAGCAACAUUUGACGUAAAACAAUAAAAAAAAUAUUUAUUUAACGCACUGAUCUAUAUGUUUAAGGUAGCUUUUUUUUAAAUCUAAAAAUACUGUCGUUUAUGUACAUGUAAAUCUUAUUUUAAACUAAAACAGCAUUAAUUCUAAUAGUUCAAUUUGCCAGACUAAAGUGUGCUUUCAUUUUUUUUUCUUUUUAUUGGUUAUGGUUUAAGAAUUUGUCAUCUUCUGAUGGCUUCCAAAAUUUUCAAGCAUGGACGAGCCAAAAUUUAAAUCGUAAAUGACCAAGAAAAUUCAGAAUAAAAAUUUUAUAUUUGCAUUGUUUGUCUCAUUACGCUUUUAUAUUCUGUAUUUUAAUGUACGCAAUAUCUAUGCAAUGGGUAAAAUUGAUCCUUGCGUGAUAUACGAUACUUAAAACUGAUUCUAUAUCAGGCACAAAAAACUGUGCCGAAUGACUUAAUGCUAAUGUUUUUAUGAUACGCUAUCGCUGGUUGCAGAAUCCCGAGAAUCGUAAAUGCAUCAUCGAUUUACAUCAAAUAUAUUUAUAAUAAUUUUUCCACGUUCGUUUAUUAUCUUAUAUGGCCAGCCUAAUUUGUCAAUGUGAAAUUGUAAAUUAUGUCAUUUUAGUUUGUUUUCUCUUGCAGAUAUUUGUACAAAACAUAUUUACUAAUUUAAAACUAGAUCUCUUAUAAUAAAGUAAGUUUCAAAAAUAAUUAGACCUACACCUUUCUACACUAACCGCUGAAUGUUUUUUAUAAGUAGACGUUAAAUAAAACUCAAAAAUUUAACACAUUCCUAAAAGGAAAUAUUAACUCAUCUUUUGAUAUUGUAUUUUUUGGAAUAUCACAGCGAAAUUAAGGCCUUAAAUUCGAUGAUUUCGAAAGUCGUAUACCAUUCAUCACCGUUAACACAUGAUCGCAUUCUGAUGAUUCAUCGUGCAUCGAAACUUGCGAGAGUUCCAGAACGACCGCGUCGUGUCAAUCGGAUCCACUCUAAACAGGCUCAUUUUGACAGCUGUCAACCUACAUUAAAAGGGCUCGUUGGAGUUUUGGCUAAUUUUUUCAUACUUUGCAAAUAUUUGAUUAAGUGAAUUUGAUUAUUUUUCUUUGGUAACUUAAUUUUAUUAAUCUUCGUAUUAUUAUAAUUACGAAAGUAUAUUUGGAUAUUUGGAUAUUGUAUAUUUGGAUGUUGACGUUUGUCUCUUCUUAUUCAGAGAGAAUGUGUGGAACGCCAAUAUUAUUUUAACGUCGAAAUGUUCACUAUUAGGGAAGAAAUGGGCUAAUGGUUUAUUUUUACUAAAUGUGUAUUGUUUCAAUUAACUAAUAACAUUUUUUAUUUACUAGUAAAAUUAGGCCUAUCAUAGUUUUAUGUUGGAAAAGAUAUUUAUAUAGAGUCUUAUUUCGUAUCGAACUAUUUCAUGAUCUAGAUAUCUUUAAUUAUAAAUUGAUUAUAUUAUUCGAAAAUAUAAUUUAGUUCUUGUAAUCACCACCAAGUAUUAGGCUGGAACUGGAGAAGAUAAAAAAAAACAAAUGACUUUUUUUAUUCUUGAUUAGUAAGUCUUUUGUGGAUCAAUAUUGUUACGAUU